RNAcentral lists this small RNA (66 nucleotides) under Sediminibacillus halophilus. Its description in RNAcentral is "Bacillaceae-1 RNA". It matches the Rfam family "Bacillaceae-1 RNA". The record is from RNAcentral. Lineage: Bacteria; Bacillati; Bacillota; Bacilli; Caryophanales; Bacillaceae.
GUAAAAGGAGUACAGGCUAUAUUCGCCACGUCCUGUGGCAACGCCUGCAUGACCCAGUCGUGUGGG